Molecule: ribosomal RNA, 579 nt
Filed under: Neofusicoccum parvum
Lineage: Eukaryota; Fungi; Ascomycota; Dothideomycetes; Botryosphaeriales; Botryosphaeriaceae
Description: eukaryotic LSU rRNA
Rfam family: 5.8S ribosomal RNA (bases 210-363)
Source: RNAcentral
UUCCGUAGGUGAACCUGCGGAAGGAUCAUUACCGAGUUGAUUCGAGCUCCGGCUCGACUCUCCCACCCAAUGUGUACCUACCUCUGUUGCUUUGGCGGGCCGCGGUCCUCCGCACCGGCGCCCUUCGGGGGGCUGGCCAGCGCCCGCCAGAGGACCAUAAAACUCCAGUCAGUGAACUUCGCAGUCUGAAAAACAAGUUAAUAAACUAAAACUUUCAACAACGGAUCUCUUGGUUCUGGCAUCGAUGAAGAACGCAGCGAAAUGCGAUAAGUAAUGUGAAUUGCAGAAUUCAGUGAAUCAUCGAAUCUUUGAACGCACAUUGCGCCCCUUGGUAUUCCGAGGGGCAUGCCUGUUCGAGCGUCAUUUCAACCCUCAAGCUCUGCUUGGUAUUGGGCCUCGUCCUCCACGGACGCGCCUUAAAGACCUCGGCGGUGGCGUCUUGCCUCAAGCGUAGUAGAAAACACCUCGCUUUGGAGCGCACGGCGUCGCCCGCCGGACGAACCUUUGAAUUAUUUCUCAAGGUUGACCUCGGAUCAGGUAGGGAUACCCGCUGAACUUAAGCAUAUCAAUAAGCGGAGG